UUGCAGCAAGAAUGCAAGACCAUUACUUUAAAUUGGCUAAUGGAAAGUAGAAAUAAGAAGAGCCCAGAAUCUCAAUUUACAUAAGAAGAUAAAUAUGUGCAUGUGUAACACAAACAAGCUUGGUUGACAGAGGAAAGCUUGGUUCCCAAAUACAUCAAAAUCUGAUUUUCCAAACAAGCUUGAGAUGCACAAAGACCCAAAUUCAAAAAACAAACAAGACUAGGAUCCCAAUUCACAAACACCCAAAUCAGAGAACUUGAAGCAUAGGAUCUGAAUUCAGAAAGAAAUUGAUGCUUGUAAUUGUUAUUUAGGAAAGACAAAAUUCAGAAAACAAACUACAUGACUCCAAACAAGCAUCUCAUUGCACAAACUUGUACCCGUUUCAAACAGGGUAAAGAUGGCACCCUCAACUCUAGCGGCCUUCACCAGCGAAAUACCAAACCUGCAAGUACUGAAAGAAAAUUUCGAACUUUUGAGAAUUUUCCGAGUAAAAACAAUCAGCACAAUUCAGAUUGUGCAAGCGACGAAUAUACACGAUUAGAAACAAAAAGGAAAGAGAAAGCAUCGAAAGGUGAAUACUCUUUCGUAAUCAGACCUAAUUGACCUCCUACAAAGAAAUAAACAGUCGAAAGCAACAAAAUUUGCCGAAACCAUGAAAUGUCCAAAAGCGGCAAAAGAAAAACCAUUGAGCUCCAUAUUUUUUGCAGACCCAAGUCCGAUUGUGUAGAAAAAAAAAAAUCAAAAAUCCUAAUAAACUUUGCAUACUCCUUUAUAAUACAUGAGCAAGAUAUGAUUUUGAAACAUGAAUUUCGCGAAAAUGUCACAAAACUCACCUUCGAGAGGAUCUGACGCAAAAACUCACUUCAUCAGCUGAAUAACUCGUCUUCGUUAUGUCGAAGGAGGCGGAUUUGCAGACCCCUACCCCUCCGAUUUGAAGUAAUUUGAGGGAUAAAAUUGUAAAGUUGAAAUCUAAUAUCAUUUCACUGUUCAAAUCGAUAUUAUUCAACUGGGGGUGAGCGGUGGUUGUAUUUUCUCUUCCGAACAGUGAUUUUGGAGCGGGCUUUGAUUUUGGUGCGGGCCUUCAUUAUUAUUUACAAAGCCUAUCAAACAGUGGGUUAGGGUGAGAAAUAUAAGUUAUCUCAUGUAAGAGUACCAAAUACUACACAUGCUCG
This 1172-nucleotide long non-coding RNA is filed under the name Salvia miltiorrhiza (redroot sage). RNAcentral's name for it is "long non-coding RNA (SMIL_LNC005668)". The record is from RNAcentral. Lineage: Eukaryota; Viridiplantae; Streptophyta; Magnoliopsida; Lamiales; Lamiaceae.